Molecule: signal recognition particle RNA, 99 nt
Filed under: Anaerolineae bacterium CG2_30_58_95
Lineage: Bacteria; Bacillati; Chloroflexota; Anaerolineae
Also listed under: 2 other names
Description: signal recognition particle sRNA small type
Rfam family: Bacterial small signal recognition particle RNA
About the family: The signal recognition particle (SRP) is a universally conserved ribonucleoprotein involved in the co-translational targeting of proteins to membranes.
Source: RNAcentral
GGGCGGGCCCGGCGCGGCGGAGUCCUACGAACCCCGCCAGGUCCGAGAGGAAGCAACGGUAAGGAGGUACAUCCGGGUGCCGCCGUCAGCCUGCCCGGA